This 253-nucleotide ribosomal RNA is filed under the name uncultured bacterium. RNAcentral's name for it is "partial 16S ribosomal RNA". It matches the Rfam family "Bacterial small subunit ribosomal RNA", at positions 524 to 776 of the family's 1533-position model. The record is from RNAcentral.
UACGUAGGGUGCAAGCGUUGUCCGGAAUUAUUGGGCGUAAAGAGCUCGUAGGCGGUUUGUCGCGUCUGCUGUGAAAACUCGAGGCUCAACCUCGGGCUUGCAGUGGGUACGGGCAGACUAGAGUGCGGUAGGGGUGACUGGAAUUCCUGGUGUAGCGGUGGAAUGCGCAGAUAUCAGGAGGAACACCGGUGGCGAAGGCGGAUCUCUGGGCCGUAACUGACGCUGAGGAGCGAAAGCAUGGGGAGCGAACAGG